GGCCCCUUUAAAGUUGGCACAUGCAAGCCGUUUGUACCUAAAGAAUGCUUUGGCCUAAUGCUUGCCCUUCGCAGACGUUUGAGGACCGAGAUUUACAACCCACAGAGCCACCAAGAUAUAAAAUCUCCUCUUCCCCACGCUAUUAGCCGAGGAAUUACUUAUAUAAAUGUCCAUGAAACCUUCGACCUGUCUUCUCUUCCUUUUCUUUUCAUGCUGCUCUUAUCUCCUCUGCAGUAGAGCAGUCACCCUUCACAUCGGUGCCAUCGUUAAUACUAACUCUCGCAUUGGAAGAGAGCAAAAGAUCGCCAUUGAGAUCGCAUCCAAACAAUUCAACUCCACCACUACGCUACUACUCCAUGUCAGCAAAUCCAGCAGCAGCA
This 380-nucleotide long non-coding RNA is filed under the name Elaeis guineensis (African oil palm). RNAcentral describes it as "long non-coding RNA (EGUI_LNC016198)". Lineage: Eukaryota; Viridiplantae; Streptophyta; Magnoliopsida; Arecales; Arecaceae. The record is from RNAcentral.